UGGGGAAUCUUCCGCAAUGGACGAAAGUCUGACGGAGCAACGCCGCGUGAGUGAAGAAGGUUUUCGGAUCGUAAAACUCUGUCUUUUGGGGCGAACGUGAGUAUGGUGAACAAUCAUAGUCAGUGACGGUACCAAAGGAGGAAGCCACGGCUAACUACGUGCCAGCAGCCGCGGUAAUACGUAGGUGGCAAGCGUUGUCCGGAAUUAUUGGGCGUAAAGAGCGCGUAGGCGGGAUAGUCAGUCUGUUGUAAAGUGCGGGGCUCAACCCGUGAUCGCAAUGGAAACAGCUAUUCUUGAGUGCAGGAGAGGAAAGUGGAAUUCCCAGUGUAGCGGUGAAAUGCGUAGGUAUUGGGAGGAACACCAGUGGCGAAGGCGACUUUCUGGACUGUGUCUGACGCUGAGGCGCGAAAGCCAGGGGAGCGAACGGGAUUAGAUACCCCGGUAGUCCUGGCCGUAAACGAUGGGUACUAGGUGUGGGAGGUAUCGACCCCUUCCGUGCCGGAGUUAACGCAAUAAGUACCCCGCCUGGGGAGUACGGUCGCAAGACUGAAACUUAAAUGAAUUGACGGGGUCAUAGCUGUUUCCU
Molecule: ribosomal RNA, 586 nt
Filed under: uncultured bacterium
Lineage: Bacteria
Description: partial 16S ribosomal RNA
Rfam family: Bacterial small subunit ribosomal RNA
Source: RNAcentral